Molecule: long non-coding RNA, 307 nt
Organism: Perca flavescens (yellow perch)
Lineage: Eukaryota; Metazoa; Chordata; Actinopteri; Perciformes; Percidae
Exons: 3
Source: RefSeq, a predicted model, not a curated record
GUUUGGGAAGCGGAGUCUGCAGCUGGCAGUGGCGACAGGUAGUCAGAAGUUAAGAUGAAAAGACAGCAGCAGCUCACUUUAACUGAUUUCUUUCUCAUGGGGAAGAAAAGAAAGAAAGGAAAUAGAUCAGAUGAAGUUCAGCUGGAAACUAACAGUGGUGACACUGGAGAGGGUGAUGCAGGGAGAGCUGCAGUGUUUGUACCUGAGAGUGUCCAGUCUCCAGAGAGGAUUCUUCAGUCCCUCUGACAGUAGCUUCACUCCUGAGUCUCCUGGAUUAUUGUAGCUCAGGUCCAGCUCUCUCAGAUGG